GAUGAACGCUGGCGGCGUGCUUAACACAUGCAAGUCGAACGAUGAAGCCCAGCUUGCUGGGUGGAUUAGUGGCGAACGGGUGAGUAACACGUGAGUAACCUGCCCUUGACUCUGGGAUAAGCCCGGGAAACUGGGUCUAAUACCGGAUAGGAGCGCCUGUCGCAUGACGGGUGUUGGAAAGAUUUUUCGGUCAUGGAUGGACUCGCGGCCUAUCAGCUUGUUGGUGAGGUAAUGGCUCACCAAGGCGACGACGGGUAGCCGGCCUGAGAGGGUGACCGGCCACACUGGGACUGAGACACGGCCCAGACUCCUACGGGAGGCAGCAGUGGGGAAUAUUGCACAAUGGGCGGAAGCCUGAUGCAGCGACGCCGCGUGAGGGAUGACGGCCUUCGGGUUGUAAACCUCUUUUCAGUAGGGAAGAAAGCGAAAAGGGA
Molecule: ribosomal RNA, 434 nt
Filed under: Micrococcus sp. oral taxon F54
Lineage: Bacteria; Bacillati; Actinomycetota; Actinomycetes; Micrococcales; Micrococcaceae
Description: bacterial SSU rRNA
Rfam family: Bacterial small subunit ribosomal RNA
Source: RNAcentral